RNAcentral lists this ribosomal RNA (229 nucleotides) under uncultured bacterium. RNAcentral describes it as "partial 16S ribosomal RNA". It matches the Rfam family "Bacterial small subunit ribosomal RNA", at positions 568 to 796 of the family's 1533-position model. The record is from RNAcentral.
UGCGCAGGCGGAAUAUUAAGUCAGUGGUGAAAGCCUACAGCUCAACUGUAGAACUGCCAUUGAUACUGAUCUUCUUGAGUAUAGUUGUAGUGGGCGGAAUAUAUCAUGUAGCGGUGAAAUGCUUAGAUAUGAUAUAGAACACCGAUCGCGAAGGCAGCUCACUAAACUAUAACUGACGCUCAGGCACGAAAGCGUGGGGAGCAAACAGGAUUAGAUACCCGAGUAGUCC